This 271-nucleotide unclassified non-coding RNA is filed under the name fungal sp. Its description in RNAcentral is "partial internal transcribed spacer region". The stretch from base 1 to 46 matches the Rfam family "Eukaryotic small subunit ribosomal RNA", at positions 1786 to 1831 of the family's 1831-position model. Lineage: Eukaryota; Fungi. The record is from RNAcentral. RNAcentral also lists the same sequence under 1 other name.
AAGUCGUAACAAGGUAACCGUAGGUGAACCUGCGGUUGGAUCAUUACUGAUUACAACUUGGCCUGGGGUUGAGCUCUAACGAGUUCCUCCAGUGUCAUACACACUUUGUGAACUUUUGUGUAUUUGGGUUGUUUUUCUCUUAGAGUCUUAUUGGGGUAACCCAGUCAGUACUGAGAGAAGGCAGCCCAGCAAAUUUAACAAACCUUUAUUCUUUUGACUGAAAUCUCUAUGUAAAUAGAAACAACUUUUGACAACGGAUCUCUUGGCUCUC